GACGACUCUCGACAACGGAUAUCUCGGCUCUCGCAUCGAUGAAGAACGUAGCGAAAUGCGAUACUUGGUGUGAAUUGCAGAAUCCCGUGAACCAUCGAGUCUUUGAACGCAAGUUGCGCCCGAAGCCACUAGGCUGAGGGCACGUCUGCUUGGGUGUCACGC
Molecule: ribosomal RNA, 162 nt
Filed under: Seseli bocconei
Lineage: Eukaryota; Viridiplantae; Streptophyta; Magnoliopsida; Apiales; Apiaceae
Description: 5.8S ribosomal RNA
Rfam family: 5.8S ribosomal RNA
About the family: 5.8S ribosomal RNA (5.8S rRNA) is a component of the large subunit of the eukaryotic ribosome.
Source: RNAcentral